GGGAUAUAGCUCAGUUGGGAGAGCAUUGCCUUUGCAAGGCAGGGGUCGUCGGUUCGAGUCCGUCUAUCUCC
This 71-nucleotide transfer RNA is filed under the name bovine gut metagenome. It matches the Rfam family "tRNA". Rfam says of the family: Transfer RNA (tRNA) molecules are approximately 80 nucleotides in length. Their secondary structure includes four short double-helical elements and three loops (D, anti-codon, and T loops). Further hydrogen bonds mediate the characteristic L-shaped molecular structure. tRNAs have two regions of fundamental functional importance: the anti-codon, which is responsible for specific mRNA codon recognition, and the 3' end, to which the tRNAs corresponding amino acid is attached (by aminoacyl-tRNA synthetases). tRNAs cope with the degeneracy of the genetic code in two manners: having more than one tRNA (with a specific anti-codon) for a particular amino acid; and 'wobble' base-pairing, i.e. permitting non-standard base-pairing at the 3rd anti-codon position. The record is from RNAcentral.